AGAGUUUGAUUAUGGCUCAGGAUGAACGCUAGCGACAGGCUUAACACAUGCAAGUCGAGGGGCAGCGGGGGAGUAGCAAUACUCCCGCCGGCGACCGGCGCACGGGUGAGUAACACGUAUGAAACCUGCCCGUAGCAGGGGGAUAAGCGGAAGAAAUUCCGUCUAAUACCGCGUAACAACCCGAGGAGGCAUCUCCUCGGGUUUAAAGGGAGCGAUUCCGGCUACGGAUGGUCAUGCGUCGCAUUAGCUUGUUGGCGGGGUAACGGCCCACCAAGGCGACGAUGCGUAGGGGUUCUGAGAGGAAGGUCCCCCACACUGGUACUGAGACACGGACCAGACUCCUACGGGAGGCAGCAGUGAGGAAUAUUGGUCAAUGGCCGCAGGGCUGAACCAGCCAAGUCGCGUGAGGGAUGACG
Molecule: ribosomal RNA, 416 nt
Filed under: uncultured bacterium
Lineage: Bacteria
Description: bacterial SSU rRNA
Rfam family: Bacterial small subunit ribosomal RNA
Source: RNAcentral